Molecule: long non-coding RNA, 364 nt
Filed under: Prunus persica (peach)
Lineage: Eukaryota; Viridiplantae; Streptophyta; Magnoliopsida; Rosales; Rosaceae
Description: long non-coding RNA (PPER_LNC003223)
Source: RNAcentral
UCGACCUUCUCGGUUGCGCUGUCUAGGCAGCGUGUUGGUGGACUGCGCUUGCGAGGGAUUUCCAGUAGUUUUGCGACGAGAAUUGGUUCUUCGAGAGCGAGUAGCGGAGCGCCUUUCUUCACGGUCCUCAUUGUGAUGAUUGUCGAGUUGACCUCCCUGGGGGCCUAUCCUUUCGUGAAUAUUUCUCUGUGAGCGGGCAGCGGAGCGCCUUUCUUCUUGAUCCUCGUCUCGAUGGCCGUCAAGUUGACCUCCUUGGGAGCCUAGCCUUUCAUGAACGCCUUCAUGCUGGCCCAGGCGAGCGUGGAUGUCAGGUCUUGGGCCCAGCCUAUCGCGCACGUUGGUCCUUAAAUUCAAUCUAGAUGGG